UACGGAGGAUUUGAGCGUUAUCCGGAUUUAUUGGGUUUAAAGGGUGCGUAGGCGGUCGGAUAAGUUAGAGGUGAAAUCCCGGGGCUCAACUUCGGAAUUGCCUCUGAUACUGUUCGGCUAGGGAGUAGUUGCGGUAGGCGGAAUGUAUGGUGUAGCGGUGAAAUGCUUAGAGAUCAUACAGAACGCCGACUGCGAAGGCAGCUUACCAAGCUACUUCUGACGUUGAGGCACGAAAGCGUGGGGAGCAAACAGG
Molecule: ribosomal RNA, 253 nt
Filed under: uncultured bacterium
Lineage: Bacteria
Description: partial 16S ribosomal RNA
Rfam family: Bacterial small subunit ribosomal RNA
Source: RNAcentral